CUCCGUGCAGGUCCGUGCUACAUACACAGCUUCGGCUCUUGGCUGAGAGUCGGAACGGGUUAGAGUCGGGUUUUCCCGACACGGUAUGUCCACAAGCCGGGGUUUCACAUACGUUGUCUGCCGUCUGGUUCUCGAAUUCUACUGGAGAGUAUCUGUAGGUAGAGGAGGAACAGAAGGAGCUCACCAGAAAUAGGAGGGAGUUUGUUUAUAACUACACUGCUGUCAUUUUGACCACAUAGUCCACGUCGAGGAAGUUUGAAACAGAAGUGUAAGCGGGUGAGAGCCAAUCAUGUGACACCGAAGCUCCUGUGCUAGCAACACUAACAGUCCCCUGGUGCUUCAUGCUCCCAGUCUGGGCACAGUCACACCAAAACUCCAUAAAUCACAACAAAUUGAGGCAGAGCAGCCAGAGGACAUCAGAUAAAGGUUGCCACAGGGAUGGGGCUCCAUCUUCAUUUGUGGGAGUGGCUGGAGCAAAUUACCACAUAUGGAAAUCCAGCUCGGAAUGAAAGCAUACCGAGCCUUUAGUAGAAUAAAACGUUCAAAACAGAGCGUUCAGAAUAGGGGGAUAUUUGAGGUUUUGGCUGACGGAUUUCUUUUAAAUAAUUUGACCUCAUUAUUUGAAGCUUUGAUCAUG
Molecule: long non-coding RNA, 637 nt
Organism: Micropterus dolomieu (smallmouth bass)
Lineage: Eukaryota; Metazoa; Chordata; Actinopteri; Centrarchiformes; Centrarchidae
Exons: 3
Source: RefSeq, a predicted model, not a curated record